Molecule: ribosomal RNA, 492 nt
Filed under: uncultured bacterium
Lineage: Bacteria
Description: partial 16S ribosomal RNA
Rfam family: Bacterial small subunit ribosomal RNA
Source: RNAcentral
AGUGAACGCUGGCGGUAGGCCUAACACAUGCAAGUCGAACGGCAGCACAGUAAGAGCUUGCUCUUACGGGUGGCGAGUGGCGGACGGGUGAGGAAUACAUCGGAAUCUACUUUUUCGUGGGGGAUAACGUAGGGAGACUUACGCUAAUACCGCAUACGACCUACGGGUGAAAGCAGGGGAUCUUCGGACCUUGCGCGAUUGAAUGAGCCGAUGUCGGAUUAGCUAGUUGGCGGGGUAAAGGCCCACCAAGGCGACGAUCCGUAGCUGGUCUGAGAGGAUGAUCAGCCACACUGGAACUGAGACACGGUCCAGACUCCUACGGGAGGCGGCAGUGGGGAAUAUUGGACAAUGGGCGCAAGCCUGAUCCAGCCAUACCGCGUGGGUGAAGAAGGCCUUCGGGUUGUAAAGCCCUUUUGUUGGGAAAGAAAAGCAGCAGGUUAAUACCCCGCUGUUCUGACGGUACCCAAAGAAUAAGCACCGGCUAACUUCGUG